GAUGAACGCUGGCGGCGUGCUUAACACAUGCAAGUCGAACGAAGCACUUUAUUUGAUUUCCUUCGGGACUGAUUAUUUUGUGACUGAGUGGCGGACGGGUGAGUAACGCGUGGGUAACCUGCCUUGCACAGGGGGAUAACAGUUGGAAACGGCUGCUAAUACCGCAUAAGCGCACAGCAUCGCAUGAUGCGGUGUGAAAAACUCCGGUGGUAUAAGAUGGACCCGCGUUGGAUUAGCUAGUUGGUGAGGUAACGGCCCACCAAGGCAACGAUCCAUAGCCGACCUGAGAGGGUGACCGGCCACAUUGGGACUGAGACACGGCCCAAACUCCUACGGGAGGCAGCAGUGGGGAAUAUUGCACAAUGGGCGAAAGCCUGAUGCAGCGACGCCGCGUGAGCGAAGAAGUAUUUCGGUAUGUAAAGCUCUAUCAGCAGGGAAGAUAAUGACGGUACCUGACUAAGAAGCACCGGCUAAAUACGUGCCAGCCGCCGCUGUAA
This 497-nucleotide ribosomal RNA is filed under the name uncultured bacterium. Its description in RNAcentral is "partial 16S ribosomal RNA". It matches the Rfam family "Bacterial small subunit ribosomal RNA", at positions 28 to 523 of the family's 1533-position model. The record is from RNAcentral.